Molecule: long non-coding RNA, 232 nt
Organism: Athene cunicularia (burrowing owl)
Lineage: Eukaryota; Metazoa; Chordata; Aves; Strigiformes; Strigidae
Exons: 3
Source: RefSeq, a predicted model, not a curated record
CUGCUUUACCCCAAAGCAACCCUUAAAACCUACACCUGGCCCAGUGCCAUUCCCUAGACACCUCCUGGAGGAACAGGAUUGGAAACUGGGGGAAAAGCUUUUCUUUAGCAUAGUGUCUCCAGUAGGUUGAUGCAGUCACAGCACCUUCUUUAGUAAAUGGGCAACUCCUGGCAGGGAAAACAUUGCACUGGUGUGUCCCUACGUCCGGGUUGUCCUGAUUCUCCAAAAAAAA